UUACGGGAGGCAGCAGUGGGGAAUAUUGCACAAUGGGCGCAAGCCUGAUGCAGCGACGCCGCGUGAGGGAUGACGGCCUUCGGGUUGUAAACCUCUUUCAGCAGGGAAGAAGCGCAAGUGACGGUACCUGCAGAAGAAGCGCCGGCUAACUACGUGCCAGCAGCCGCGGUAAUACGUAGGGCGCAAGCGUUGUCCGGAAUUAUUGGGCGUAAAGAGCUCGUAGGCGGCUUGUCACGUCGGGUGUGAAAGCCCGGGGCUUAACCCCGGGUCUGCAUUCGAUACGGGCAGGCUAGAGUUCGGUAGGGGAGAUCGGAAUUCCUGGUGUAGCGGUGAAAUGCGCAGAUAUCAGGAGGAACACCGGUGGCGAAGGCGGAUCUCUGGGCCGAUACUGACGCUGAGGAGCGAAAGCGUGGGGAGCGAACAGGAUUAGAUACCCCGGUAGC
RNAcentral lists this ribosomal RNA (443 nucleotides) under uncultured bacterium. RNAcentral describes it as "bacterial SSU rRNA". It matches the Rfam family "Bacterial small subunit ribosomal RNA", at positions 339 to 794 of the family's 1533-position model. The record is from RNAcentral.